This 117-nucleotide ribosomal RNA is filed under the name Lepisosteus oculatus (spotted gar). The record is from RNAcentral. Lineage: Eukaryota; Metazoa; Chordata; Actinopteri; Semionotiformes; Lepisosteidae.
GCCAGCAGCUAUAUCACUCUGCAACUCACAACUGGCAACCCACUGAAGCUAAGCAGGUGUGAGCCUGGUCAGUACCUGGAUGGACCUCCUGGGGAAAAACUAAGGUUGCUGCUGGAA